AUUGAACGCUGGCGGCAGGCCUAACACAUGCAAGUCGAACGGUAACAGGAAGCAGCUUGCUGCUUCGCUGACGAGUGGCGGACGGGUGAGUAAUGUCUGGGAAACUGCCUGAUGGAGGGGGAUAACUACUGGAAACGGUAGCUAAUACCGCAUAACGUCGCAAGACCAAAGAGGGGGACCUUAGGGCCUCUUGCCAUCGGAUGUGCCCAGAUGGGAUUAGCUAGUAGGUGGGGUAACGGCUCACCUAGGCGACGAUCCCUAGCUGGUCUGAGAGGAUGACCAGCCACACUGGAACUGAGACACGGUCCAGACGCCUACGGGAGGCAGCAGUGGGGAAUAUUGCACAAUGGGCGCAAGCCUGAUGCAGCCAUGCCGCGUGUAUGAAGAAGGCCUUCGGGUUGUAAAGUACUUUCAGCGGGGAGGAAGGGAGUAAAGUUAAUACCUUUGCUCAUUGACGUUACCCGCAGAAGAAGCGCCGGCUAACUCCGUG
Molecule: ribosomal RNA, 490 nt
Filed under: uncultured bacterium
Lineage: Bacteria
Description: partial 16S ribosomal RNA
Rfam family: Bacterial small subunit ribosomal RNA
Source: RNAcentral